Molecule: unclassified non-coding RNA, 530 nt
Filed under: Hevea brasiliensis (rubber tree)
Lineage: Eukaryota; Viridiplantae; Streptophyta; Magnoliopsida; Malpighiales; Euphorbiaceae
Source: RNAcentral
AGAAAUCCUUCAUUAAAAUCUUCAGUUUUUUCUGCAGAUUUUAAUGAAGGAUUUCUGCAAUGCACCGUGUAGCAAGUGCAGGGAACACGUCCAAUUCGGUUCGGCCUAGGAAGGAGAAGAGGUUGACUUAUGUUUUGAAUGAUGCAGGUGACACUAAGCAUUGUGCAGGUGUAAAUUCUUUGGCUGUAUUGAAGUCACCAGCAACUGAUGGAUGUGAAUACCUAUUCACUGGGAGCAGAGAUGGCACAUUAAAGAGAUGGGCAUUGGCUGAAGAUGGUGCCACCUGCUCUGCCACAUUUGAGUCACAUGUCGAUUGGGUUAAUGAUGCAGUUCUUACAGGUAGUAACACAUUAGUAUCAUGCUCCUCAGACACCACUGUCAAGGUGUGGAAUGGCUUAUCUGAGGGAUAUUGUAUUAAGACACUCCGGCAGCACUCCGAUUACGUCACCACCCUUGCUUCAGCAGAAAAAAAUAGCAAUGUUAUUGCAUCUGCUGGUCUUGGUGGUGAGGUUUUCAUAUGGGAUCUUGAA